Long non-coding RNA from Cotesia glomerata, 103 nucleotides. RefSeq lists it as uncharacterized. Lineage: Eukaryota; Metazoa; Arthropoda; Insecta; Hymenoptera; Braconidae. The record is from RefSeq and is a predicted model, not a curated record. The transcript is spliced from 3 exons.
GGAAGACUGAAAUAUGAGGCAAGUCCUUCCAAAACUAGAUAGCCGAUACUACAAAUGAAUGCUCAUAGGUCGUAGUAGCAAAAUUUGGCAUCUUGAAGGAAAU